ACAACUCUCCACUUGUGCAACUAAGGCGAGACACACUCUGAAAGCUUUCAGCCAACGCACAAACCAUAGUUGCUAUAAAAAAAAGCUGACUAAACAGCACAGCUUGAACUAAGCGAGUCGACAGAUGGCGCCACACAGACGAUUUGCGCUGGAUUCUUAAGAAGACAAGAUUGCGCUGGAUAAUGCCUCCUUUAUGUCCACCAAUGGAAGAUACACAUUUUGGAUUGUGGACCAGCGUUUCGUUUACAGCUUUACCGCCUGGAAGAAAGAUUUACGACAGUUUUCAAUGCUCAUAGCCGCAUUUUUGCCUUGCUUUGUGGAACAGAGAUAUUCAGAAACGACCUGAUUUUUCGAAAAAUUGUGAUGUAAGCCCUUGUCAAUUCGGUCAUUAAACAAGUCGCAAGUGCUGAAAAGCCGUUCGACAAAUUCGAGAGGAGCACCUGGCGCCAAAUAAUAACGGAUGAUGUUGCAAAUCAAUGCUCCUCGCGUGGGACGAAGAAAAAAUGUGUGUUAGAGGCCUUCAAAUCACAUUAGAAAUACGAAGCUAGCAUUACUUUUAUAACCUGUA
Molecule: long non-coding RNA, 568 nt
Organism: Drosophila montana
Lineage: Eukaryota; Metazoa; Arthropoda; Insecta; Diptera; Drosophilidae
Exons: 4
Source: RefSeq, a predicted model, not a curated record